RNAcentral lists this ribosomal RNA (587 nucleotides) under uncultured Geobacter sp. RNAcentral's name for it is "bacterial SSU rRNA". It matches the Rfam family "Bacterial small subunit ribosomal RNA", at positions 240 to 819 of the family's 1533-position model. The record is from RNAcentral. Lineage: Bacteria; Pseudomonadati; Thermodesulfobacteriota; Desulfuromonadia; Geobacterales; Geobacteraceae.
AUUAGGUAGUUGGCGGGGUAAAGGCCCACCAAGCCUGCGAUCAGUAACUGGUGUGAGAGCACGACCAGUCACACGGGCACUGAGACACUGCCCGGACACCUACGGGUGGCUGCAGCAACGAAUAUUCCGCAAUGGACGCAAGUCUGACGGAGCGACGCCGCGUGGAGGAUGAAGUCCUUCGGGAUGUAAACUCCAAUAGUUUGUCAGGAAGUAACCCGGGUUAAUAUCCCGGGAAGUUGACCAGCAAAUGAAAGGGGCGGCUAACUCCGUGCCAGCAGCCGCGGUAAGACGGAGGCCCCGAGCGUUGUUCGGAAUUACUGGGCUUAAAGCGCGUGUAGGCGGGUCGGUAAGUGCCUUGUGAAAUCCCCGGGCUCAACCCGGGAAUUGCUCGGCAUACUGCCGGUCUUGAGGCAGGUAUGAGUCGCUGGAACCUUAGGUGUAGCGGUGAAAUGCGUAGAUAUCUAAGGGAACGCCGGUGGCGAAAGCGGGCGACUGGGGCCUGUCCUGACGCUGAGACGCGAAAGCGUAGGGGAGCAAACGGGGAUUAGAUACCCCCGGUAGUCUACGCCGUACACGAUGCGCACUAG